UUAUUAUACGACCCCAAAAAAAUUUGGGUUCGUAUAAUGGUAUGAUGUCGUCGUCUGCGUCAUCGUCCGAAGACACUUUGGUUUCCGGAUAAUAACUUUAGUUUAAAUGAAUAGAUCUUAAAUGAAUUUUUUCAGAAGGUUCAAUACCACAAAAGGAAGGUUGGGAUUUAUUUUGGGGAUGAUGGUCCGAACCGUUUAGGAAUUAGGGGCCCAAAAGGGCCAAAACAAGCAUUUUUCUAGUUUCAGGAUAAUAACUUGUUUACCAGUAUUUCAAUUGCUCUGAAAGUAUACUGCAAUGUUUAAAAUCACAAGUAGAAGGUUUGGAUUCAUUUAAGGGGUUAUGGGGCCAAAGUUUAGGAAUUAAGGGCCAAAAAGGGGUCAAAACAAGCAUUUUUCUAGUUUCCAGACAAUACCUUGUGUGUAAUUGCAUGGAUCUCUCUGAAAUUGUACCACAAUGUACCAUAUAACAAAGGGAGGCUGGGAUUAAGUUUUGGGUUAAUUGCCCAAAAUAUGUAGGAAUUAAGGGCCAAAAAGAAGCAUGUUUCUGGUUUCCAAACAAUCAUGACAAUAACUUGUGUUUAAGUGUAUGGAUCUCUCUGAAAUCGUACUACAAGGUUCAAUAUUACAAAGGAAAGCAUGGGAUUGAGUUUAAGGGUUAUUGCUCCAAGGGGGGUUUCAAUAAAUUGGGGGGGGGGAUCUCAGUUUACCAUUUUUUUUAAGGGAUUUUUUUUUUUUCUAACAUUUUUCAAAUUUCAAAUUUUGAAAAGUUUCAAUAAGAAAUAUUCAAUUGCACAGUAUUGUGCAGUAGAUGUGUUAGAUCUUGAACCAC
RNAcentral lists this long non-coding RNA (829 nucleotides) under Mytilus galloprovincialis (Mediterranean mussel). Lineage: Eukaryota; Metazoa; Mollusca; Bivalvia; Mytilida; Mytilidae. The record is from RNAcentral.